AAGAGGUUUCCUCUUCGCCCUCCAAGUGGAGCAGAGUAAAGAACCUAAAGAAAUACGAACAAGUCAAAAACGUUGGGGACCACAUGGACAAAAGACAAAGACAAAAUCGACAAGGGCUUUCUAAAAAUGGUCUGAGACAUCCACUCCACUGCAAGCAGUAGACCUCCAGAGAAUACUCCACCUCUGAUUGGACCAGGAGACCCUGAACCUUUGGACAUGGGGGAAUUUCUGUCCUUCCUGAAAUCCAGGAACCCUAAUUCGGCGAGAGGCCCAGAUGGCAUCUCGUUUAGGAUGCUGCAGCAACUUCCUGUGCUAGCCAGUCAUACCAGGGCUGAGUUUUUCCCAGGCCCCCAGGUCGCACAACAAACCAACUGUUCGGACAUCUCGAACAAAUACCAAAAAUAAACGCUAAUUACAAAAAAAAAAUACAACGGACUUUACUCUACAUCUAACGGACAAACAUCUCUCCGACACAGAAAAACUACAAAUCUGGG
This 494-nucleotide long non-coding RNA is filed under the name Drosophila guanche. The record is from RNAcentral. Lineage: Eukaryota; Metazoa; Arthropoda; Insecta; Diptera; Drosophilidae.